GACGAACGCUGGCGGCGUGCUUAACACAUGCAAGUCGAACGGAAAGGCCCUUCGGGGUACUCGAGUGGCGAACGGGUGAGUAACACGUGGGUGAUCUGCCCUGCACUUUGGGAUAAGCCUGGGAAACUGGGUCUAAUACCGAAUAUGAUCAUCGGCUUCAUGGUCGGUGGUGGAAAGCUUUUGCGGUGUGGGAUGGGCCCGCGGCCUAUCAGCUUGUUGGUGGGGUAAUGGCCUACCAAGGCGACGACGGGUAGCCGGCCUGAGAGGGUGACCGGCCACACUGGGACUGAGAUACGGCCCAGACUCCUACGUGAGGCAGCAGUGGGGAAUAUUGCACAAUGGGCGCAAGCCUGAUGCAGCGCCGCCGCGUGAGGGAUGACGGCCUUCGGGUUGUAAACCUCUUUCAGCACAGACGAAGCGCAAGUGACGGUAUGUGCAGAAGAAGGACCGGCCAACUACGUG
RNAcentral lists this ribosomal RNA (462 nucleotides) under uncultured bacterium. RNAcentral's name for it is "partial 16S ribosomal RNA". It matches the Rfam family "Bacterial small subunit ribosomal RNA", at positions 28 to 507 of the family's 1533-position model. The record is from RNAcentral.